Non-coding RNA from Camelina sativa (false flax), 224 nucleotides. The record is from RefSeq and is a predicted model, not a curated record. Lineage: Eukaryota; Viridiplantae; Streptophyta; Magnoliopsida; Brassicales; Brassicaceae.
CGUAGAGGUUCAUCAUCAGUUGAUAGGUACAGCAGCAGCUACAGUGGUAGCCGUGCACCUUCAAGACGCUCCGACUUUCGUGUGCUUGUGACUGGAUUACCACCAUCUGCUUCUUGGCAGGACCUUAAGGAUCACAUGCGCAAAGCUGGAGAUGUCUGCUUUUCUGAAGUUUUUCGUGACCGUGGAGGCAUGUCUGGGGUUGUUGAUUAUAGCAACUAUGAUGA